UCUGGGUGAACAAACGAGAUUUAUGCCGGUGUCAAUAUGACAAUAUCCUGUACCAACGUCCCGUAUCAUGAUUUCAACGCAUAUUUAUGCUUUAAUUAUAGAAAACAGAAUGUGUGACAGACAUUUUUGGGGAAAAGAACUGGUAAAAAGUUCACUGUCGUAUUCUUUGCAUCAAGAGCGGAUGUCGGAUAAGAAUCUUCCCUAUGGACCAGAUACCCUGGGGACUCGAAUUGCAUGCAGUAUUUUAGUAGCAUUUAGGAUCACAGUAAGAAAAGCAAAGCAGCCAGUUAUAUCACGUGAACGGCUUGUAUAAUAUAUCGAGUCGAAUAGGUGCGCUGACACGCAAUGCUUGAAUGUGUUUUAUGUUACGUGACGGUGUAUUGGUUGAACAUUCGAGACGUUAGAUUACAUUGUCUACCUAGCUAACAUCGUCGUAUCCACCAACGUAUGUGACAUUAUGUGCUAUAAUAUGAUAUGUGGUAGUUGGUAAACGCCAACGGACGUGGGGUGGACAGAAGCGACAUUUGAAUUCGUGGUAACUUCGUAGAAAAGUAAAUAUGCUCUUUUAGUGCGGUCUGCGUAGUAAUAUCAGAUACGAGCUGACCCUGUCUCGUAUAUGGAAGUCCAACGAUUUCUCACCGGCCUGUUACAGUUGUUAAGUCCAUUCUACUUUGUCGAUGAUAAUCAUGGAAUAAAGUGACGCUUGUCAAUAUCUUGAACUUGGAUCGGAAUAGUGCAGGCUUAACUUCCGCAGUGGGCUAAAAACCCAGGACAUCAACAAAGGUCAUUGUACAAACGAUCCGGAUGGAGCACAUCGCGCGGAAAGAGCUGUGGACAUCAGCGAGGUCCCCUUGAUAGGGAAAACGAUUUCUGAGACAAAAAAAGAGGAAAGCGAGUAUUGCGAAGAACUCGAUGGGUCUUACGACAAGGUAUAUAGUGCUCUCAAGCAGAAAGAUAAAGUUCAGGGCAUCAAAGUAAAAAGCCCUGAUUCAACUGACAAACAAACUGAUUUAAAAGUUGUGUAUGAUUCUAGAAGUUUGAAUCUAUCGGAUAGGCAGGAGUCCUACUUAGAUCUUGCCGUCGACAUCGACUACGAGAGUGCACUGGAUCAAAAAACUAUCGAAGAACUCUGCCAAAAAUUCAAAGGAUUGAGUUUCAAGUCGAAUGAGGAAGUGACCUAUCCAGAUGUUAACACCUCAUUGAAUCUAAAGGCGACGGAAGGCGCUCGGUAUAGUCUGACCUCCGAAGCUCCCAAGGACACCUGUUGCGUCUACAAUAUCGACGUGGAAAUCAGGUCGGACAGCAGUCAGGCUGGUGGAAACUGCUAUGAUCAUAUUAUCUAUUCGAUUGCCAUAGUGCUAAUCGUACUGAUAUUAUUAUCAGUUACAGUAGUGUUUCUGGAGUUGCGAUGAAGCCGAAAUUUUCAGCUAUCACAGCAAAUACAGAGCACAGCUGAACAAAUGCAUCGGUUCAUUUGUAGCAGACGCGCUUAAUUUUGUUCUUCGUAAUACUAAUGCCACUAUUGUUUACCCCAGACAGAGCUCUGAGAAAACUACAUUAAGUCGUAUUUGUAAUGCUGUAACAUUUGCCAGUUGUAUCUGUUGACAUUGUACUGCUCUCAGUGAGAUGAAUACGCAAGCUGACCAUUAUCAGACCGUGGAACGUAUUAAAAGAGCUUUCAUCUUGUGCUCCUGGAAAUCCUGACUACUGACAUAUUCCAUAAAGAUAAUAACAUCCGUUGAUACCUAAAGCUUUCAUUUUAAAUCGUUGUAGAUCAAUUUAUGUCGAUAUGUCUUUAAGAUUAAAAAUAAUAAAAGAUAUUGUCGGUUAGACAUUCGCACAAACGAAGAACGUAGUCAUUGAAAAUUACCAUAGGUCAGGCGCGAAAAUUUGAAAUGCAAUACUGACCUAGGACCGGAUUUGGCCAUAACGAUCGUGACACGCUUCGUCUGGUCAAGAUCGUGAUUUGUGCGUGAAACUACUAAGCGCAUGUAUGAGAAUGCCGUGUAAAAAUCUGCUGAUCGCUUUUUUGACGAUCCGCCAUGAGUGCCCAUCGUUCAUCCCAACGUCUAUGCCAGAGGGUAACUGAACAGAUUGUCUGAGUUGCUUCUCGAAAGCAACACAUGUUUCUAAGCGCCCAUCGCGUGUAAGCAUUUCAACAGGAUAAUGCAUCUUACAACACUCACUGUUAAGACAAUAGCUUUCCCUUGCUUUGCCUCCCAUAGGACGAUUAUUCCUCUAUUAGGUUACAGUUACCCACUUGCAUUUCCUGUUAGGAACUUAUUUAGGUGUUUAUAUAUUUAUUAUAUUGAUUGCUAAAAUAUGUAGUCAUGUCGACAAAGCUUAGAAUAGACCGAGUAGAGUCUAUUAUAGGUCAAAAGCAAACGUACUGUAUCUGUUAUCUUGUUGAGGGGCAACUAGAAGAAAUUCAUGAUUCAUGAAAGAUUAUCAUUAGUAAUGACUUCAUACGCGAUCUAUCGUCUACUUAACUGGAAAUAAAUAUUCUUGUAGUGGUUCGCUAUUAUGGCAACAGACCAUCGUACCUCGAUGUUUUCUUAUUCGCUGCGCGUAUUAAAUAUUGCCGAGCGAAUCUUCAAGGGCCGAAUCAGGUUUUCCGUGGCGCGUCCAAGUUAAAACGAUCGAGUGAAGCCAAAUAGUCAAGAGUUUCCAGGACGUCGUAUAGUUUUUGCUAACUAGAAAAGUAUGAUAUCUUUAUUUACAUCUAGCUACGUAUCGCUUUUGUUAGCCAAUGUAAUGUAAUUUUACGUAACACUGUAUAGUUAUGUAGUACUUCGUUGUACGGUAGUGAAUAUAGCCGUUGCGUUUCAUGG
Varroa destructor (honeybee mite) is the source of this 2831-nucleotide non-coding RNA. The record is from RefSeq and is a predicted model, not a curated record. NCBI's taxonomy places the organism in Eukaryota, Metazoa, Arthropoda, Arachnida, Mesostigmata, Varroidae.